GUUCUCACCUCCAGAAAUGAUGAUAUCUUUUGAUCUGUCUUUUAUUUCUAUGUAACCAUCUGGAUGUUUUACGCCAAGAUCACCGGAGUGAAACCAGCCGUUGGCAAACGUCUCUUUGUUUGCUUUUGGGUUCUUUAAGUAGCCUUUCAUAACAGCAUUCCCACGCAUUACAAUCUCUCCAACAGUUUUUCCAUCAGAAGGAACAGGCUGCAUUGUUUGAGUGUUCACAACAUCUAGACCCUCCAAUCCGAUGUAUCGUACACCUUGACGAGCAUUCAUUCGCGCUUGGGCUUCUGGAGGCAAUGAGUCCCACUCUGGCUUCCAUGCACAUAUUGUAGAAGGACCAUAAGUUUCAGAUAGGCCAUAGGUGUGAGUGAUCCGGAAGCCCUUCUGUGACAUUGCAUAUAACACUGAAGGAGGUGGGGCAGCUCCUGCUGUCAUUACAUGUACAACAUGGGGAAGGGGAAGGAUAGUAUCUUCUUUAGGGGCAUUAACAAUAGUAUUAAGAACCACAGGUGCAGCACAGAAGUGUGUCACUUUAUGCUUGGCUAUGGCUGAAUAAACUGCCUUAGCUGUGACCUGCCGGAGGCAAAUACUCGUCCCACAGAGGGCAGCCAGUGCCCAUGUGUAACACCAACCAUUGCAAUGG
Molecule: unclassified non-coding RNA, 649 nt
Filed under: Hevea brasiliensis (rubber tree)
Lineage: Eukaryota; Viridiplantae; Streptophyta; Magnoliopsida; Malpighiales; Euphorbiaceae
Source: RNAcentral